AUGGCUCGCGGCGAUCAUCAAGACGACGAUGAUGAUUUCAUGGAGUUACCGCGGCAGAAUCAGGCAACUGGACAGAGAAAAGAUGGUGAUGAGAAGAAGAAACGUAAUCACAAUAGGGCUUCACAGGAACGCCUGACUAUAUUGACCGAGGGAUUCACCGACGACCAGAAGGGAGCUGCUGCUGAGUUGGGGAUGCAGGCUCUGAUGGAUGUUCGGUGCAAGAAUCUAGUGAACCCUGUAUGCGACUGGCUCGGUGAGAUUUACGAGCCCGCCUCCAGGGAAUUUGUGAUUCCGGGACAUGGAAGACUGCCAUUAGACGAGGAAUCCGUGUUCUGCACAUUGGGUGUGCCCCGUGGAGAAAUCAAAGUCCCGUAUGAGGUCAAUAAUACGAUUGAGGAAACGUUGUUUGCCCGUUUGUUUCCUGGGAUGACAUCCAUGCCGAACACGACCGUGCUGGCAACUUCGCUGGAGGGCAUGAAAACCCAUGGCGAAGUUUUUAAGAUGAAGCUACUCAUGUACCUGAUCUCAGCUGUUUUUGCGCCGACCACAUCUCUUCGCCCAAGCAACAAAUGCUUCCCCAUCCUGGUGAAUGCUCUAUCUCUACUCCUUCAUUUUUUCCUUCAAUCUUUUGACUCCUAUUUCAUAUCAACUUCUUGUCCUGAAAUUUAUGUCGUGCAGGCAAAACUGAAAGAAGUGAAGAACAUGAAUUGGUGUAAGUUCAUUGCGGACUUCCUGCAUGAUGCAUUCUCAAACAAGAUGUACCAGAAGGGUUGUCGACUCCAUUUAAUGCUCAUGUACGUCGAUCGUCUUGAUCUGUCCACUGUGGACUUUACUGGGAUAGGAGGCCCGCCGCCUCCACACAAGUUUCCUAUUUCUGCGUGGACUUACGAUGCUGUCAAGGCUGUGCUUGCCGCGGACAAGAUAACUGAUACGAAAUACGGGAAACUACAGCUGAUGGCCAAGCAUGCUAUAGACUACGGCGUGUUUGGUGGGCCUCAAAACUUUGGAAAGUGGAUGGACGUGCACUCAGCUCCGUCUUGUCUUGUUGAGGCGAGGGCACCUGUUGAGCAUCUAAUUGGGCAGUUUGCAUCCGGAAUGACCAGCUUGCUCGGGAAGUUGGUUGAGGGUUGGACGUCCCUUAAUGGCUCUGACAGCGACGCGGUUGCGAGGCAGUUCACUCCUUUUGUUGCAGAACGGACACAUCGGCCAACUGGUUGCCGUGGUCGGUACGACUACAACAGCUCGCAGGAGCUUCCGGACACACAAGAUGAACUAGAUGGAGAUGCUGCUCUCGACAAGGACGAUGACGAUGACAUGGAGAACGUGCAUCAUGACACCGACGAUGAUGAACAUGUUGAAGUUCGUGCAGGUGGUAAGAAGGGCAAGGGUGCACCAGAUGUCCCCUCACCAGAGAAAGUCAAAGAACAUACAGCUGCGAGAGGCAAGGGGGUGUCGCCCUCAAAGAGGGGGAGGGAUCCAGAGGAUGUUGGGCAGGGCUCUCGUGUCAAGAGACCUAGGACCGAUCCCUUAGCUGCUGGGAGGAGUGAGGCGACAGCUGGUGGACGAGUAGUUACGAAGAAACAAGCACCAACGCCCACCCGUGUUUCUGCUCAAUUUAACAAGGGUGCCCCUAUUGCUAGUGACACGCCUUCCACUAGGUCAUCUCCUCGUACGUCAACGUCCAACACCGGUGAUCCUGUCGUGUUGCCGGAUUUGAGGAAGACAGUCAAGAAGGUGAAGAAGACUACCACACGCAUGACGAAGCAGAACCCUAGAGACCCACUCGAACGCAUACACUCAAAGCUGUCGACAGGUGGCAACUCAGACGUUCAUGAGGCGCCAGUGGACAAACCUGCUGCUGCAGCAUCCACUGUUCCCACUAGCUCUGAUGCAAGCGGCCGAGCAUCUCCGCCGGUUGCAGAUGUGACUGCUGAAAUAUUGCCCACUCUGCUAGCAAUGAAGGAUGCUGCUGUGAGCCAUACCACCCGAUCAGCAAGUGUUGAAGUGGACGCCCCCGAGAUCAACCUAAGCAAGGAAGAUUCCCGCUCAUCUAACAUGGAUUCCAAGCACGUGGGUGGUGGCACUUCUUCGUCCACGAAAGAAGGGGCUGAGGCGGCAGUUCAUAAUGAUAUGCCAUCCAUAGGUGAGACUCUUGGCACAACAGCUCCAGCUUCUGGUCCUCCAGAGGUUGCCAAGGUGACCGUUGCGCGAGCUGGUCUUCCACCUAGGCGGCGUAGCCCCCGCAAGCAAUCUGCAGACAUACCCAAUGCGCCGGCUGUAGCUAGGAGCAGCAGAGAUGACUCUGGUUAUGUGCCUACGUCCACACUGUACCCACCACCUACCAGAAGCAAUGUUAUGGAGAGAACGGAAGACCGGAGUACAACCGACCCAGGUGGCAAGCUGGGCACGACUGACGGAGGUGAACGUGCGGAGCAGACGACGUCUUUACCCGUAGUGGAUAACCCCAGCUUAAAUCUGUGCACUUCUAAGCUCCCAGUCAACAUCGGUGUCCCCUACAGCCCAAACAAGAAGAUUGUGAAGAAAGCUGCGACUGAUACCGCUGACAGCACGCCCCGCCCUACGAAUAAGCCCGAUGAUUCUGCAGCGGCCGAUGCAGAAAUGUUUGUUGAUCUUUCACCCUUGGAUUCUGCCCAGCAAGUUGUUCGCGGUCCGUCCAGUAGGCAGGAGAGGCACCCAAUGGCCUUCACCCCACCGAGCUGUAGCCUUGGCAUCGAUCGCAAUCAAGAUGAACCAGUGGUGCAAGAUCCUUCACCACUUGCCUUUGCUUUCCCGGCAGGCAUGGCCCCAAUGAUGGCGCAGCCAAUGGUCGAGGGCAGGAAGGCUAUGACGUUCGCAGAGCCGGUUGUGCAAGCCACCCCUGAGGAGAUUACGCCGUCACUUGAUGAAGCUUACCGCAGGAUUGAGGAGCGUAGGGUAGUUCACGCGCCACCCGCGGAUGAUUAUGAGCCGGAAGUCAAGGCCACAAAGGAUCAGAACCAACUGUACGAUAUUGUCAAGCGCUUUGGAAAUGCGCGGUCCAACAACAAGCACAUGAAGGAGCUGAAAGCCUCAUGUUUGGACAGAACCAAGAUCAUACAAUGUGAUGUGACGUACGUCGACCUGGGUGAUCUUGCCGAGUCUGUGAGGCCACUCGGUAAAAUAUCGAAGAAUGUAGUUGCAUGUGGGAUUGACUUCAUCAACAGGCAUAUGGAUAUGUCUCCCGACAAAACAAUCAUGCAGUACACUGUGACGUGCAAAAUAUGGGAUGGUGACUUCCACCACAAAAUCAAGAGGAAGCAUUUUGCUGCGCAUGGUGAUUUCAAGCUCACAAUGAAGAAAUUAGCUAUGCUUCAGAUGUGGGCUACACCCUGCUUUGUGACAGCUGUUUCAUGUGGCAACAGCUGCCAUGUCUUGUUCCCCAUGUUCCAGGAGCUUGCACCACACGACCCACACGACAAGUGUGGUCACCACUAUGCGAUCUGCCUUGACCUGAAGAACCAAUGUUUUGAGGUGCUUGAUUCAAUGCGUUCAGAAGCUGAUGCAGACCUUACUACGCAUGCUGAAUACUUCAUCAACAACCUCAAAGAGACAUGGAACUGUCACUAUGAAAACUCAAAGGUCCAGAUCAGACAUUUUCCAAUUGAGUACGUGGUGACUACGAAGCAAGGAAACCGGCACGACUGCGGCUUCCACAUGUUGGAAUACCUUGCAAAGUGGGAAGGUCGACGGGUUCCUGUCGUCACAGCUGGAAUGGUCGUCGAGCUCCGCAAAAUCUACACAUGGAACUGGUUGAUGAAUGAAGAUUUCAACACGCGGUCCAACACACGUGAGUUCAUAGAGGAAGCUGUGAAGAAAGCCACCAAGAAGUACAAGUGA
RNAcentral lists this ribosomal RNA (3876 nucleotides) under Triticum aestivum (bread wheat). RNAcentral's name for it is "partial small subunit ribosomal RNA". Lineage: Eukaryota; Viridiplantae; Streptophyta; Magnoliopsida; Poales; Poaceae. The record is from RNAcentral.